This 260-nucleotide ribosomal RNA is filed under the name Rhizophagus irregularis. The record is from RNAcentral. Lineage: Eukaryota; Fungi; Glomeromycota; Glomeromycetes; Glomerales; Glomeraceae.
CAGUCGUACUUAUGGGUAAUCAGCCUUUUGGGUGUGAUUUUGUGGAGCGUGAGGAGCUAAACACCUUCAUGCCUGCAUAUUCGUGCUCUUGGGUGUACUUGCUCGUGUGGUUGGUUAACAUCAAUUUCGGACGCCAUAAAAUGGCUGGAGGAAUGUAGCUUCGAUCUCGUAUUGGAGUGUUAUAGCCUUUCGGUAGAUGCGACGAGUUGGGAUUGGAGGUAUUGCAACGGAUACCCUUCGGGGCUACUCGUCUGAUCUCU